AGGCGAUGUCAUCAAUAAUGGGCCCACAAGCGGGGUCAUCCUCCAUGCCCAAAUUCCUAAAAACCAAAUUCACCUUAUCCUCCUCUGCUUCAAAAGCCCACGCGUAUGGGUCCCACCCUUGCACAUUAUACAAUGUUUGCAAGUCUAUGGUCUGUGAUGCAGGUGGCACUGAGAUGUUUAGCGACUCCAGCUGAGCGCACGUGCGAGCCGC
This 211-nucleotide unclassified non-coding RNA is filed under the name Hevea brasiliensis (rubber tree). Lineage: Eukaryota; Viridiplantae; Streptophyta; Magnoliopsida; Malpighiales; Euphorbiaceae. The record is from RNAcentral.